AGAGUUUGAUCAUGGCUCAGGAUGAACGCUGGCGGCGUGCCUAAUACAUGCAAGUCGAACGGGGAGUAUUAAUUUCGAUUUUUACUCCUAGUGGCGAACGGGUGAGUAACGCGUUGGUGACCUGCCCCGAAGAGGGGGAUAACUCCGCGAAAGCGGAGCUAAUACCCCAUGUGGUCUUUCAGGUUAGAGACUGGAUGACUAAAGGAGCAAUCCACUUCGGGAGGGACCUGCGUCCCAUCAGCUAGUUGGUAGGGUAACGGCCUACCAAGGCGAUGACGGGUAGGGGGCCUGAGAGGGUGGCCCCCCACACUGGCACUGAAACACGGGCCAGACAUCUACGGAUGGCAGCAGUAGGGAAUAUUGCACAAUGGGCGAAAGCCUGAUGCAGCAACGCCGCGUGCGCGAAGAAGGCCUUCGGGUUGUAAAGCGCUUUUCUGGAGGAAGAGGAAGGACGGUACUCCAGGAAUAAGGAUCGGCUAACUACGUGCCAGCAGCCGCGGUAACACGUAGGAUCCGAGCGUUAUCCGAAUUUACUGGGCGUAAAGCGCGUGUAGGCGGUCAGGUAAGUUGGACGUGAAAGCUCCUGGCUCAACUAGGAGAGGUCGUUCAAAACUGCCUGGCUAGAGGGCGACAGAGGGAGGUGGAAUUCCCGGUGUAGUGGUGAAAUGCGUAGAUAUCGGGAGGAACACCAGUGGCGAAGGCGGCCUCCUGGGUCGCACCUGACGCUCAGACGCGAAAGCUAGGGGAGCGAACGGGAUUAGAUACCCCGGUAGUCCUAGCUGUAAACGAUGUGGACUUGGCGUUGGUGGGGUUAAAUCCAUCAGUGCCGGAGCUAACGCGGUAAGUCCACCGCCUGGGGACUACGACCGCAAGGUUAAAACUCAAAUGAAUUGACGG
Molecule: ribosomal RNA, 897 nt
Filed under: uncultured bacterium
Lineage: Bacteria
Description: bacterial SSU rRNA
Rfam family: Bacterial small subunit ribosomal RNA
Source: RNAcentral